AUAUAACAAGGGGAUUGACGUAAA
Molecule: non-coding RNA, 24 nt
Filed under: Arabidopsis thaliana (thale cress)
Lineage: Eukaryota; Viridiplantae; Streptophyta; Magnoliopsida; Brassicales; Brassicaceae
Source: RNAcentral